RNAcentral lists this ribosomal RNA (253 nucleotides) under uncultured bacterium. RNAcentral's name for it is "partial 16S ribosomal RNA". It matches the Rfam family "Bacterial small subunit ribosomal RNA", at positions 524 to 776 of the family's 1533-position model. The record is from RNAcentral.
UACGAGGGGGGCAAGCGUUGUUCGGAAUUAUUGGGCGUAAAGGGCGCGUAGGCGGCUCAUGAAGGCUGUGGUGAAAGUCCGGGGCUCAACCUCGGAUCGGCCGUGGCGACUCGUGGGCUGGAGCACUGUAGAGGCGGGUGGAAUUCCGGGUGUAGCGGUGGAAUGCGUAGAGAUCCGGAAGAACACCAGUGGCGAAGGCGGCCCGCUGGGCAGUGGCUGACGCUGAGGCGCGACAGCGUGGGGAGCAAACAGG